Long non-coding RNA from Dermochelys coriacea (leatherback sea turtle), 2628 nucleotides. RefSeq lists it as uncharacterized. The transcript has 4 exons. NCBI's taxonomy places the organism in Eukaryota, Metazoa, Chordata, Testudines, Dermochelyidae. The record is from RefSeq and is a predicted model, not a curated record.
AAAACAUUUACUCUAUUAUCUUUUUUCCUUUUUCUUUAAAGGAAAAUUGCUUAAUGCAAUUGUCUCAAACUCUGAUGAGAACACAGAAUCAUUAAAAUCUGCUCCCAAAUAGUCCAGGGUAUUUUUUGUAAGAUCAGUACAUAAUUUCUGGAAAAGAGUUAAAAUUGUAUGGCAUUUUCCUAAUAAGUUAAAAGAGAACAUUAUCUAAGCCAGUAUACAUUUGAUGCUAAACUUCAGAUUUAAUAUCCCAUUUUAUGCUGUAAAAUUCUUGACUAGAGCAUUUAGCUAUCUAAAUCCUUCUUGGAUUUCUAAAUUAGUUAGCAAUUUCAAUCUUUUAUUACAGCAACCACAUCCUUCAGUGUCUGCUUUCUAUAUUUUGAUUAUGCAGCUCUAAUCAAACUUGGCAUGAUUGUUGCAGGUUUUUAAAUAUAAGAUCUAAUGGUUUUUUAUGUUCCUUUUUGCUACAAACAUGGGGUACCAGGUUCAUUGUCUCAAAUAUAUGCAUUGCUGUUCUACCAUGUCAAUCUUAAUUCUCUAUCUUCAUAUCUGGGAUCAGCCUAUUGGCAUAUCUACUGGGCUAACACAGAAUCUUUUGGUGCUUUCUGAAACCCUCUGGCAAAGCCUGAAUUUAAAAAAAAAUUCCUAAUUUUGCUGUAUAUUUUUGAACUUUUGUUGCUAGAGAGAAUCACAAACCAAACCCUGGGUCAGAGCAUGCCAGACUCUGUGCAUGUUUAGAUAAGAUAAGGAGAACAUAGCCACCACUAUCCAAUUUCAUUGGUCAAGUCUUUCUCUAUCUUAUACUCUGCAUGGUGCUGUUUUGGCAGUGCUAUUUUUUGUGGCGGGUUUUUUUUUUUUUGUUGUUUUUGUUUUGGUCUGCAAUAUACUUCAGCUCCAUUGACUAAUAUAUUAAUGUAUGUAUCAGAUGUCAUCCUGUAUAUGCAACAUCACUCACGGUGCUGAAUGGACACCCACCUUCACUGUCCUGUAGAAAAAGUGCCAAAUCUUGGCCAUGGUUGAUAUGGUGGUAAAGGGCAUGUAAGUUCCAUGUGUAUCAACUCAGCAAUUGGCUGAACAAUUCUGAGGAUGAUUGAGCCUGUUUUGCAAGUGGAGAGAAGGAGACCACCCCCAGCCUGCAGGGCAGUGCAAAGUCCUACCAGCCUGCAGAGAAACUGCCUUUCAACAUGGCAGAAGGGUUUGUAAGAAUCUGUACUUAUGCUUGCAUCCUGCUAGCAUGUGUCUGAAUACAGGAAAUUGAACAACUUUUAAUUCUUCUCCUAAGGGGAAAACAGGAUGGCAUACAGAAGAGUCAUUGAAAAUCUGAGCUUCCAGUUGCUGCCAAUAAGUACUUUUUCUGCUGUAACAGAGCUACUUUGGAACUGUUUCAAAGAACAGACCUUCAUCUCUGCUGUUCCCAGAAAAGCACCAACUAUGAUAUUAUACCACAAACUGAAGAUUGUUUUUGGCUGUGUGAAAUCUUACCCAAAAUGUAUGAUGAUCUGAAAGAUUAUGAAUAUAAAAUUAUAUUUUAAAUAAUCCUUUAAAAUGAAGUUAAACAGGCCAAUUCACUUCUGACCAACAAAUUGGUCAAUUCCUUCUCUCUUCAGUUUACUCAUUUUGAAAUUGUUAAAGCUUUUGGAGUUGCCACAGUUUGGUUGUUUGAACAAAUUGUAACUUACUUGGUUGCAGAUACACAUCAGUUGUCAGUUUGGCACUGAAUUACUUGCCACCUCAAUGUAAUAUCACUCCACCAGCUCAACUCAAUCAGGAUUAUUAACUAGCAUGUUCCUUUAGCACCAUCAGCAAGGUAUAACCAUCCUGCAAGGUCCCACACCUAAUGUCCAAACUACAAUGACCUAUGAAAAAGUUUGGGAGUCCAAGAUGUCUACUUAACUUAAUCCAUUACAAAAAUACCAAUAUCAUAGACGUAAGCACAGAAUGUAUUGAAUUACCGUCUCAUGCUGCUUGUAUUUUCCAUUAGUGCUGACAAAAUGUGCAUUAUACCACUUCAGUUCCUCUGGUAUUUUGGGCCACUCCUUUGAAAGCAAUGUUUUUGAUACUACCAUUGGACUCUUCGUCUCCUUCCACCAGACUUCAUCCACUUCAUUAUUCCUAGAGAAAAUGUCAGCUGGGGAGAAAGCUAAAAAUCCUCGCUCACUGCCAUUGCUUCCACUGGGCAUACCUCCACUAAUCCCUUCCUUACUAGAGAUAAUAUAUCAGAAGGAAAGGGGAAUUAAAAAAAAUCCCUUUCUUCUCCUGAAAUCUGGUCAUCACAGGCCCUGCCCUCUCAUUAAUGCCGAUCAUUAUGUCAGCGAGUGAGGAGUUGAAGCCCCUUGUCAUGGGAUGACACUGGCCCUUUAAGAAGAACCAGGGCCAGUGCACCUGUGAUCCAUCAGCUUACUCCAACUGGCCUGGAGAGAGUUAGGGACCCAGGAACUCAGAGCUGUGUCAAUGAGGAAAAGGUAGGUGAAAGCAUCCAGAGACUGGGGAAGGUCCCAGAAGGAACUGAAGGAUGAUCCUGGGGGAAGGCUAAAGGCAAGCAGACAGCAAUAGGAGGUUGCUGGGUGACUUCCCCAAGCCAGGGUCACACAGCAGGAGAGCCGGGGAGAGGCUUAUCUGCUGACAUUUCCA